This 405-nucleotide ribosomal RNA is filed under the name uncultured bacterium. RNAcentral describes it as "partial 16S ribosomal RNA". It matches the Rfam family "Bacterial small subunit ribosomal RNA", at positions 30 to 526 of the family's 1533-position model. The record is from RNAcentral.
AUUGAACGCUAGCGGGAUGCUUUACACAUGCAAGUCGAACGAGUGGCGGACGGGUGAGUAAUGUAUGGGGAUCUGCCCGAUAGAGGGGGAUAACUACUGGAAACGGAGCUAAUACCGCAUACUAUCGGAUGAACCCAUAUGGGAUGAGCUAGUAGGUGGGGUAAUGGCUCACCAAGGCAACGAUCCGUAGCUGGUGUGAGAGGACGACCAGCCACACUGGGACUGAGACACGGCCCAGACUCCUACGGGAGGCAGCAGUGGGGAAUUUUGGACAAUGGGGGAAACCCGGAUCCAGCCAUCCCGCGUGUAUGAUGAAGGCCUUCGGGUUGUAAAGUACUUUUGGCAGAGAAGCGGUAUCUGCAGAAUAAGCACCGGCUAACUACGUGCCAGCAGCCGCGGUAAUAC